GUUACAAGGUAUCUUAUCCUGAAUACAUAGGGGUAAGAAGCGAACGCGGGGAACUGAAACAUCUAAGUACCCGUAGGAAAGGACAUCAACCGAGACUCCGUCAGUAGCGGCGAGCGAACGCGGACCAGGCCAGUGGCAUGGUUAAGUAAAGUGGAACGAUCUGGAAAGUUCGGCCGUAGCGGGUGAUAGCCCCGUACACGUAAUCCUUGACUAUGUCCUAGAGUAAGGCGGGACACGUGAAAUCCUGUCUGAACGUGGGGGGACCACCCUCCAAGCCUAAGUACUCGUGCAUGACCGAUAGCGAACAAGUACCGUGAGGGAAAGGUGAAAAGCACCCCGACAAGGGGAGUGAAAUAGUACCUGAAACCGAAUGCCUACAAACAGAUGGAGCUCAAGGUUCGUCCUGGGUGACAUCGUACCUUUUGUAUAAUGGGUCAGCGACUUAGUCUGGCGAGCAAGCUUAAGCCGAUAGGUGGAGGCGUAGCGAAAGCGAGUCUGAACAGGGCGUUCAGUUCGUCGGAUUAGACCCGAAACCGAGUGAUCUAGCCAUGAGCAGGUUGAAGGUGCGGUAACACGUACUGGAGGACCGAACCCACUUAUGUUGA
This 605-nucleotide ribosomal RNA is filed under the name Lotharella globosa. Its description in RNAcentral is "partial Bacterial large subunit ribosomal RNA". It matches the Rfam family "Bacterial large subunit ribosomal RNA", at positions 140 to 792 of the family's 2925-position model. Lineage: Eukaryota; Cercozoa; Chlorarachniophyceae. The record is from RNAcentral.